AAAAAAAUCAUUUUACAUUAAAAAAACCGCUCCGUUUUAUCCCCAAAUUGAAAUAGAGCAGAUUCCUAGUUCUUUUUUUCAAGAACUUUUUUGCGACCUUUCCGUGGCUUGUUUUAGGGAAAAAAGUGAUUUCUCAUUUUAUUUUCUUAUUAAUCUAGAUGGCACAACAUGCAUCUGCGCAAGGUGAAACUGGAAUGCUUGUUUUCGACGUGCAUUCAACAAUGGACAUGAGCAUUCAACGUGUACCUUGAGAAAAAAAAAUCAAAUCGCUUGAUCUUUUCGUGUUCUAGAUUUCUAGUCAUGGCGGAUCGCGCGUCCUACAAUUUGGCUCCUCAAUUAGAUAUUGAACAGAUUUUACUAGAAGCGCAGCAUAGAUGGUUAAGACCUGCUGAAAUUUGUGAAAUUCUUCGUAAUUAUAAGAAGUUCCAUAUUACGUCAGAGCCUCCUACCAGACCUCCAAGCUAUGUGCUACUCUAUUACCAUGCCUGUGGAUGAAUACAGACUCAAAUAAGGGCAUCAAUGCCCAUGUCCCAUUUAUAAAGAUGCCAACAUAGGACAGGUCCAUAAUGUUGCUCCGAAGCCUGGAAAUGAUGCCAGUAGACCAGAUCUGCUUGAUGCUGCAUUACUAAGACUAAGUAGGCUUGAUCGCCUCCGUUUCUGUGAUUUUCCAUCUCCGCGUGAAAGGUUGGAUAUUCUGACCUUUCUUUCAAGAAAGGGGAAUCUACCAGUCGUAUUGCAGGUCUCUUUUUGAGGAUCCUUUGCUGGAAUGCUUUGAGCUUGUUGAUUUCAAUUUUCAAGAGGAGUUUGGUCGAAGCAUGGGUGAAAUUUUUCAGAAAUUUGAUGUAAAUCAUCUUGGUUCUGCAUCAAUUGCACAGGUUUAACAGUUUUGCGGGGCUCUCGGAUUCCGGAAAUAAGAUAAGUGGAUAUACCUAAACAUAUGUUCGUAUCUGAAUUAGGCUCAUCAAGCAGGAUUGAGAGGUGAUAAGAUUGAUGUUGUUGUUAAGGUGGAAAAAUAGAUAUCUAUAUUCACACUGAUGUUCCUUGCAAAACACAUCUAUCCUUCUUUUAUGUAUUUUUCAGAUUAUGUAAAUUGAGAAUAUCGUUCCACUUGGAUUUGGAUUUCUUUUUUCUUCUGCAUGUUAUUAAUUAUUUAUCUUUUGUGUUAUCAAGA
This is a long non-coding RNA of Gossypium arboreum, 1171 nucleotides long. RefSeq lists it as uncharacterized. NCBI's taxonomy places the organism in Eukaryota, Viridiplantae, Streptophyta, Magnoliopsida, Malvales, Malvaceae. The transcript has 8 exons. The record is from RefSeq and is a predicted model, not a curated record.